Molecule: long non-coding RNA, 2218 nt
Organism: Styela clava
Lineage: Eukaryota; Metazoa; Chordata; Ascidiacea; Stolidobranchia; Styelidae
Source: RefSeq, a predicted model, not a curated record
GUCUGUAAGUGUAAAGUGUUAUCAUUAUUAUUGAUUUAGUGCUUUCAGAGGUUCAUAAAAUUUAAGAUUAUACAUCAAUAGAUAUGAGAAUUGAUACUGCAGUAUUGGCAAUGCUAGUAGCAUUGCAGCUUUGUUGAAAUAUUACAUAGAGCACAUGAAGACAACAUACUGACAUAUAUAUUUUAUGAUUUCGAAGAAAGGGGUAAACUUGACAACAAGCCUAAAUGGUAUAACAACUGGGAAAUUACUGACAUAUAUAAGCAUCAAGCGUUCGCUCUUGAUUGGAGUACUUCAGGGGAUUUAUCACUAUCAAGCAGAUUUGUAUCGUCCGCGAACAAUUUCGAAAAUAAUGUGGUGCUUCGAGCAAGAUCGUUGAUGAAUAUUAAAAAUAAAGUCGGUCCCAAGCACGAUCCCUGUGGGACUCCGUGGGUCACAGACUUGAAGAUUGGAACUACUCUCGCGAUUUUCAAUGAAGAUGGAAAUAUUCCCAACUGAAGUGAACUAUUGAAAAACUUUGUCAGACAUGGAGCUAUGAUAUCAGCAACAUACUUGAGAAAGCGGCUCUGGAUGUUGUCAGCCCCAACUGCCUUACCAUCCUUAAGACUUAUGAUUUCAGCUGUUAAUUCAUUCACUGUUGUGGGAUUCAGAAAUAUGGAAUUGCUUAUCCGCUUGUCAAGAUACUUUCUAAACCCCUCCAUGUCAUUGGGGAAUUGUUUAGAAAGAUUAGAUCCGACAGUGGAAAAGUACUGAUUGAAUUCUUGUGCAAUUGAAUGACUAUCAUUAAUAAUACUGCCAUUUUCCAGAUGAAUUUCGUCAAUAUUAUGCCUUAACUUGUUUUUAGAGGAUGCAAUUUGAUUCACAAUUCGCCAUGUAGACUUGGGGUUUCCCUUGUUUUCAGCAAUCAUAUUCUGGUAAUACAUUUGUUUCGCCAUAUCAAUGGUAUGUGUGAGUAAAUUGCGAUACUUUUUGAAAUAUGAGCACUGGGAACUAUUGCCCUUUAGGAAGUGGGAUUUAUACAUUUUAUGUCUUGAACGAAUACUAUUGAGUAUUCCUUUCGAUAUCCAUGGUUUAAGUUUAAUCUUUUUUUCGCGGCGUGACAAUUGUUUAAACGGAGCAUGGCGGUCAAUUAGAUGAACAAUAGAAUUUGUAAAUUCUUCAAAAUGACUAUUAAAAUUAUGGGCAUUCAAGUUAAAUGCAGCAAAGUGAUUAUUAAUUAUAUCUUGCAUGUCUGACCGAAACGCGUCAAUCGAAAAUGUAGACAUAUCCCUUCUAAAAAUAACAUCAUUUCUGAUUAAUGGUUUGAUGCCAUUAAGACUACACAUUAUUGGGAAAUGAUCAGUAAUAUCUGAUAAUAUAACAUGAGAAUCCAGUUUUAUAUGAGUCAUGUUUGUAUAUAAAUGAUCAAUUAGUGUAGCCGAAUUUUGUGUGACCCUGGUAGGUCUUGUAAUAAUAGAAAAGGUGUUAUGAGCAACAAACAUAUUGGUAUAAUUGGCAAUUUGGGUACUAUAUUUUGCUGCAAGUAGAUUGAUGUUAAAAUCUCCCACGAUCAUAAAAGGAUUUUUUGUUAAUUUUGUAAGGCAGUUCUCAAAUAUGCUGGUAAAAGUAGAAAUAUCGUUUUUUGGAUGUUUAUAUAUAAUACCAAUGCUCAAAUUAAUGUUAAUGCUUUGAAGGUUUAUUUCAAGCCAUAAUUCUUCACAAUUGGAGUAAUUUAGAUGAUAUUCAGUUGUCUCAGUAAAUUUAAUUUCAUUUCUAAUAAAAGCACCGACACCACCUGCUUUCGAAGCAGAAGGUGCGUGUAUAAAUCUAUAGCCAUCAAUGCUUAUAUAGUCAGAAUUAUUGUUUAAUUUUGUCUCACUUAUAGCUAUAAUAUGGGGUGAAGGGUUGAAAUUAGACAAAAGUGCAGAUAGCUGCCCAAUAUUCUUUCGAAUUGAGCGAAUAUUUAAAUGUAUGAUAGUUAAAUCCGAAUCAGUUCUAAUAUUUUUUAUAUCUGCCACUUCUAGGUUGCUGCAGUGGCAACCACUAAUUUGAUUUGGAGGUAUAAGACUGUUGGCACCAUUAUCACAAUGGUCUGAGAAAUUAUCAUAAUUAUUCGACAUUUACUUAUAUGGGAAAUAAGUAUUGGAAUUGCAAGGAAUAAUUAUCAAUAGAAUUAUAUAGAAAAAAAAUGUAUGUACAUAUAAAUAUAUAUAAAAUACAGAAACCUACUUUAUGAAAAGUA